CGCUGCUCCGUGAGCUGUCGGGGCUGUGCGUGCGGCUGUGCGUGGGGCUGCGCCCACACCGGUACGUGGGCUCAGCGAGAGCACUUCAGGUUUGGAUCCUGAGUGCUUGACUCGCGUUUCCUUACAAUUUUGGAUCUGCUGCUUUUCUGCACGGUUCAUGGAGUUGGAAUAAGAUUGUCCUAUGGGGCAACGCACAGCAGAUUAGGAACGUGCUCACAUGAGGUGAUCCAAAAGUGCUCUUUUAUGAGCGUUUGUUCUCCUUCCAGCUCAGGAGCAGCGCUGGGCGAGACUCACCUCCCUGCACGGGGAUGAAGAACAUCAUAAUAUGUUUGAAGCAAAGAACUGCAGAUAGGGAGAUUUUCAAAAAGCCAUUUGUUUACCUGGGUGAGGCAUUCAGACCAAAAGCGAAGGGUUAUUCAGGAAAGAACUCAAGCAUGUGGCUACAGCACUGGAGCAGACCCAUUCAGCCUCAGCUCGCAGCAGCACAGCUAGGGGUGCAGUGGGGUUCAUCAGGCCAGCACCUCCUCCUGGAGCUGAGCACAAGCCUGCACUCCUGGAUCAUGCCAUCCUGGCCAUUUAUUUGCCUGAAACUUAAACCUAUGCACUUCUCCUGGUGGUUGCAAAGUUUGCCACGCUCUGUCAAGCCUGCAGCGAUUACUUAUGGGCCACAGAUGGAUGCCUCAGCUCACUGGAGAGAUGUGUCCUGUAAUGCAUGCUGCUUGUUCACAGCUGAUCCCGAAAGAAGCUGACAUAAGGGCAUCAAGGAGCAUAAUUUUCCAGAAAUGCACUCCCUGCAUUUCUGACUGAAAGGGUAUGUGCAGAGUGGUUCACUGUGGCAGAGACUGAAGUGUUUGAGAGGUUUGUACUCCAGCCUGCUAUUAACUAUUGGUAGCACUGACUGCAGGGCUGCAGGCAGUGCAUGCUUUUAGCUUGAAUUUUCACUUCUUCAUUCUGGAAGGAAGAAUGGGAGAAAUGUUCUGGGUGCAAAUUCCGUGUGUGUCUCACGCCAUCUGCUAAUAGCAUGUGUGAGCUGCUCUACUGCCAGAAACCAGGAACAAAGAUAACAUCACUGCAGAGAGAACUGCCCUGCUCCCAAGUGAGGCUCGUACUGCAGGAAGCUACCGCUGGUCCUGAGCACAUUCACCAGAGUCUUGAGAGUCUGCUGUGCCACAGCUGGAUGCUCAUCCAUCUGAGAACCAGGCUUUUCUCUGCCUUUCCACAGCCUGCAAUGCAGUCAGGAAGCAAAGGAUACUAAGGGAUGUUAGCAGCUGCCAAACUGCCAGUUCCCAACGAGUCACUCCACACCCUGGAAUUACUUCUGACAGAUGUAAAAUGCCUUCUGCUGAAUUCCUACUCCAAAGAGCCUUUUGCAUGACCGGUUUAUCAGUGAAUGCAAG
Molecule: long non-coding RNA, 1397 nt
Filed under: Gallus gallus (chicken)
Lineage: Eukaryota; Metazoa; Chordata; Aves; Galliformes; Phasianidae
Description: lncRNA (ENSGALG00010001675.1)
Source: RNAcentral